Molecule: ribosomal RNA, 492 nt
Filed under: uncultured bacterium
Lineage: Bacteria
Description: partial 16S ribosomal RNA
Rfam family: Bacterial small subunit ribosomal RNA
Source: RNAcentral
AGUGAACGCUGGCGGUAGGCCUAACACAUGCCAGUCGAACGGCAGCACCGUAAGAGCUUGCUCUUACGGGUGGCGAGUGGCGGACGGGUGAGGAAUACAUCGGAUUCUACUUUUUCGUGGGUGAUAACGUAGGGAAACUUACGCUAAUACCGCAUACGACCUACGGGUGAAAGCAGGGGAUCUUCGGACCUUGCGCGAUUGAAUGAGCCGAUGUCGGAUUAGCUAGUUGGCGGGGUAAAGGCCCACCAAGGCGACGAUCCGUAGCUGGUCUGAGAGGAUGAUCAGACACACUGGAACUGAGACACGGUACAGACUCCUACGGGAGGCAGCAGUGGGGAAUAUUGGACAAUGGGCGCAAGCCUGAUCCAGCCAUACCGCGUGGGUGAAGAAGGCCUUCGGGUUGUAAAGCCCUUUUGUUGGGAAAGAAAAGCAGCAGGUUAAUACCCCGCUGUUCUGACGGUACCCAAAGAAUAAGCACCGGCUAACUUCGUG